RNAcentral lists this ribosomal RNA (653 nucleotides) under Candidatus Roizmanbacteria bacterium. RNAcentral describes it as "bacterial SSU rRNA". It matches the Rfam family "Bacterial small subunit ribosomal RNA", at positions 1 to 660 of the family's 1533-position model. Lineage: Bacteria; Candidatus Roizmaniibacteriota. The record is from RNAcentral.
UUUUUUAAGAGUUUGAUCCUGGCUCAGGAUGAAUGUUGGCGGUGUGCCUGAGAUAUGCAAGUCGACCGACCAAAUCGCAAGAUUUGGAGUGGCGGACGGCUGAGUAACACAUAGGGACUUACCCCUUUUUGAAGAAUAGCCCAUCGAAAGGUGGGAUAAUACUUCAUGGUAUGGAUACCGCAAGGUGUUUAUUAAAGAGAUUAACUUCUCGAAAAGGGAUGGACCUGUGGCUUAUCAGAUAGUUGGUGGGGUAACGGCCUACCAAGUCUACGACGAGUAGCUGGCCUGAGAAGGUGGUCAGCCAGAGGGGGACUGAGACACGGCCCCCACUCCUACGGGAGGCAGCAAUCAGGAAUAGUCGGCAAUGGACGAAAGUCUGACCGCGCGACACCGCGUGUAGGAAUAAGCUCUAACGAGCGUAAACUACUGUGAUAGAGGAAAAAUGCUAGCUUAGGCUGGCUUGAUGGUACUCUAUAAGAAAGGGGCCGCUAACUGCGUGCCAGAAGCGUCGGUAAUACGUGGGCCCCAAACAUUAUCCGGUUUUACUGGGUGUAAAAAGUAGUGUAGGUGUCUUGAUAAGUCUUGUUUUAAAUACUGUGGCUCAACCAUAGAAAAGGGCAGGAUACUACCAAGAUAGAGUUUGCUUUAGAGAA